Molecule: transfer RNA, 72 nt
Filed under: Cyanophora paradoxa
Lineage: Eukaryota; Glaucocystophyceae; Cyanophorales; Cyanophoraceae
Description: tRNA threonine
Rfam family: tRNA
About the family: Transfer RNA (tRNA) molecules are approximately 80 nucleotides in length. Their secondary structure includes four short double-helical elements and three loops (D, anti-codon, and T loops).
Source: RNAcentral
GCCCUUGUGGCUCAGUGGUAGAGCAUCCCCUUGGUAAGGGGAAGGUCGCGAGUUCAAUUCUCGCCAAGGGCU